UAAUAAAUAUACAAAGGAAACUAAAUCUAAAACAUUUUUAAUUCUAUUCAACAAUUAUUGAUGCAGAAUAGCAAAGUACCAAAGAACAUCAGUGAGAUAAAAGAAUCAUGACUAUAUUACAUAUAAUUUAUGUUUUAUUGAAUUUGCUAAGAAAAGUUGAAUCAUUAAGUAAAAGAUUUAUUUACUUAUUUACUUAUAAAAUUCAUAUACAUGUACAAAAACACAUUUUUUAAUAAAGCAAAGUAUCUCUUCUAUAGUGUACAUCUUUGAACAAGCCCAUAGGGCAAAAACUUUUUGACACAUAUUGACAAACUGCCCACAAUUGAAAUUGUAAAUAAAGUCCUAAUCUGGAAAUAAUUUUGAAGUAUUCUAAAGGGACCCCUAAAACACCUCAAAAGAUUUCUUUCUUUUUUUAAAUAUUUGUAUUCUUUCAUGUACCAUAGUACAUUUAAGCUGGACUUUGUUCAACUGUCACUUCAUAUGGGUUAUCAACAGGUUUCCAUUGUUGCAUGUAUGUUUUCUGGACGGUCUGACGCUUUCCCCUGCUGCGAGACUGCUGCCUUCACAGGGACAAAGAAACUGUUAGGAAAUGUGUUUCCCACUCGGAGUACACCUUCCAUAAUGUCUAGUGAUUGAGGCUCCCUCUUCACUGAGCAAAUUUAUACAAGAUUUGACGGACAACCCUGCAAACUUCUUGGAGUUAUCACUGGCUCAGUUAUCAGGCAAAGUCAAGAAAACUAAUGGAAAAACUGGAUCCAAGCACAGCAAAUCUUAACUGCAUGAGAUAGAAUGAACUGAUGAGAAUGGUUACAAUUUUUAUGGUAUUUCUGGUUAUCUUUUUGUUUUCCAAGUCUAAGGGAAAAAAAUUGCAAAAACUAGCUAUAUGGCUUUUUCCUCCCUACCUGAUCCCACUAGAAUUUGUCUUGUUAUGCCGCAAUGCAAUUAGGAAGUAAUAUAUUUAACAUGGUGGAAAACCACAGUCUAAUUAAACAUGAAUUUUGGACAUUUAAUCCUUUAACAAGUUAAAUUGAUAUGUUGUAAAAGAUAUUGUAAGACAAAAAAACCACAGGCCCAAAAUGGUAUCACCCAUGCCCAUUAUACUAAACCUAGACUUACUACCUGAUCUAACUGCAGUUUUAACCUCUCUCAGAAGCAAUCUUAGCCAACCAGUCUGAAAUAUUCUUGCCAAACGCCAUUGAGGCCAGCUCACGUGAGACCUCUCCUUUCCUCCACAGAAAGAAGAUGCGACCUGCAUGAUGAAAACCCUUCCUGAUUUCCCCCCUAAAGAAAAGGUGACCUGGCCUAAAAGCAUGCCUUCCUUUUCUUUGCUGAUAGCUCCCUUGCCCCACGUUGCUUCCUGCAAUGUCUUCCUGAUAAGACUCACUCACUGCUCCUAAGGGAAGGUGUCCUUGCCUGAAAUAAUUCUCUCUUAAUUUCUCAGUUCAACCCUUUUUUCCUUAUAAAUACUUUUCACUUUGUACAUCUCCUCUGAGUGCCUUUUAUACUUCCAGUUACUAGAGGGGAUGCUGCCUGAUUCAUGAAUCAAUUAAAACCAGUUGGAUAUUCAAAAUUUACUCAGUUGAGUUUUGUUUAACAAUAUUAAUAUUUCAGCCUUGGAAAGAGUAUGAUAGGUCAAAACUAAGAUUGUUUUAUUGAAAAUAAGAAAGCAGUCUAUUUUAUUCUUGAAAAUUCUUUUGGAAAGAAUGUGAAUGUACCUAUAACAUUCUAUAUCCAAAAUAUCUUUGUAGACCCCAGAGGCCUUAUUAAAGAAUGUAUACAUUCUUUAAUAAUAUACAUUUAAUUGCAGGAUUAGACUAUUGUUCAGUUUAUGAGUCACCUACUUGACACUCAAUAGAUAUAUGCUAAAUGUGUUAAUUAAAUGAAUAAACUGGAUAUACUUUGAAUUUCAGUAAAUUUAAAAACAUGGCCAAUGAUGACACUUUAAAGAUAUUCAAAGAAAAACAAAACAUAUCCAGAAGCCAAAGAGCUGUCAAACAAAAAAAAAAAGCUGGACAGUAGUUACAGCAUUAAAAAUAAAUGUUAUGAAGGAAAAUUAUUGCAACACGGGAAAAGAGAACUGUAGAGAGCCAGACUCAAUUCCAAAUACAACGAGGGAAAGUGGGAAUUUGUAGCAAAUGCUCAGAGUGGGGGGUCAGUGGUUAGAAAAUUACUAAGAGGACACAUCAGGAGUAAGGAGGAAUUCUGGUUAAACCAACCUAACAAGAUGCUUGCUGAAGACAAGCCAGGGUGAUCAGAAGUCACGUGAGAGAUACUAGAAAAUUAGGAAGCUGAUUAACUAUCCAAGAUGAUCCUAUAUGGAGGAUGAGGUCUUCUUGCUACACCAACUUAGCAGGAUUUCAGCUAGAACUAGACUCUACAACAAAGGUCACAGAAGCUCAGGGUUUGAGCCCAGCCAAAAAAGUGAAUUCACUGAGUCUGAUUAGUACAGUCAAGUAGGGACUACUUUGUCAGUCCCCCUUGUUCUAUAUGUUAAGUGGUGUGCUUUAAACUUUAGUAAACUUAAUAUCAUGGCUCAUGGGGAUACUUUAAAAUAAAGAUGUUCAACAAUAAAUGAAGCAUUCCAUCCAGAAGCCACAGACUUGAAACACUACUGAAAAGACAAAUAUGUCUUCUAUAGUUAAGCAUGAGGCACUGAAACAUCAAAAUAUGAUGGAAACUGAGUAAUCAAAUAACUUAAUAAAGACUUGAAGAGUCUCUAAAUUCUAGAAGCUAAUUAAAAACACAAUAGCUUUGCUGGGGAUGCUCUCCGAGAUGCCACUUAUUAAACUCAGUGACGCCUGACCUGUAAUCAACCCAAGGUCCAUCCAACACAAAAUGAGACCAAUCCUAGUUCAUCUGUGACUACAGUGACUCAGCUGCCUAGCGUGAACAGGUAAAGGGCUUAGUUAAUACCAAUCAAGUCAAAGUUUAAGAAGAACAAUGAACCUUCCUAUUACUCCCAAUGUCUUGUACAAUGAAGUUCAAAGAAGUAUAGUAGUUACAACAUGAUCUAUGAGUUUGCAACCGUUCAAUUAGCAAUAACCAAAAUUUCUCAUCUCUUGACCAGAUGACUUCCAUUUUUGAUUCCUUAAAAUUAUCAACAUUAUAUAGUUACUUCUUUUACAUAUGGAAUUAUAUCAAGGAUCCAAAUGGCCACUUAUAGACUAACCCAAAGAGAAAACACCUACCUGUUCAUAAAUUACUUUUAUUCAAAAGUGAUAGGUACACAACUAUACCAUUUAUAACUAAGCACAUUGAAUAAUUCUGAAGAUAAAUUCCAUCAAAGACAAAGAUAUGAGUUCAGCUUCACAAGAUAAUAAAAUGGCUAUUUUUUGCUCUUAUCUAUUUAAGAUAUCUGGGUCCUAUAGAGAUACCAGACUUCUUAAUGAGCACCUAGGAUGUAGACUAAUUUUUUUCCUUUAAGAUAGAGAACUGGUUCAAAAAUCUGGUCAGAGUUAUAAGUGAUUUAAUAUUUCUCUUCCCACAAUGACUUGUUCUGCAGUCUACCUUGAGAAUGCACGUUCUGUGAAAGCACAACUCUGGCUGAAGUCUUAUGCAACCAUAUACUUUCCCAGCAUAUUUAUCUCUGUCUUCACUUCUGAAGAACAUAUGGCAACCCAGUCUAGGCCAGGUUUUCAGCUAGGAUCUAAAGAAAAAUAAAACCCAAAUAUUUUAUUAUCCCUUUCAAAAUUCCUGUUUCUUUGAAGAAGAAGGGUUUUGUAUGCACAGGUUCUUGUGGACUUAAAGAAUGAGUAUCUCACUCCAUGGAUAUCUCACUUGUCUUGCACCUCUGGUGUAAACCUCUUUGCCUUAUGCAGUUUUUAGGCCCUAUUCUGAGCUCAGAGAUAAUCCCUCAGUGACUGCUCCCACCACGCAGCCUUUCCAAGUGGACCUGACUGCUGAGGUAUGAACCUCUGACUGCCGCCAAGGCUACCUCAAAUACAUCAAAGCUUUCAUAAAAAUUGUACUUAUUUCUUCGCACCACUCACAGUUGGUGUUUACAUUUGAAAUAUGUCUGCCUCCUUUAUGAGACUGGAAUGACACUGUUGUGUCCUCAAUUCCCAGUACUGUGCCUGGUACAUAAGUACUUAAUUGAACUGGUGAGUGAGUGAAUCUAUUACACAACUAAUCCUGUCACCAAAUAUUUAUUUUCCUUUUCUCCAGUUUCACCAAAUUACUUUUAAUCUUCUACAAUUUUCUCAAAGCACAAAUUCAUCUACUGGA
Molecule: long non-coding RNA, 4224 nt
Organism: Phyllostomus discolor (pale spear-nosed bat)
Lineage: Eukaryota; Metazoa; Chordata; Mammalia; Chiroptera; Phyllostomidae
Exons: 2
Source: RefSeq, a predicted model, not a curated record